RNAcentral lists this ribosomal RNA (267 nucleotides) under uncultured bacterium. RNAcentral's name for it is "partial 16S ribosomal RNA". It matches the Rfam family "Bacterial small subunit ribosomal RNA", at positions 793 to 1055 of the family's 1533-position model. The record is from RNAcentral.
GUCCUAGCCCUAAACGGUGCAUGUUUGCUGUAAGAGGAAUCGACCCCUUUUGUGGCGAAGCUAACGCGUUAAACAUGCCGCCUGGGAAGUACGGCCGCAAGGUUAAAACUCAAAGAAAUUGACGGGGGCCUGCACAAGCGGUGGAGUAUGUGGCUUAAUUCGAUGCAACGCGAAGAACCUUACCUGGCCUUUACAUGCAAGUAGUAGAACCGUGAAAGCGGGACGAGGUAGCAAUACCAGCUUGCACAGGUGCUGCAUGGCUGUCGU